RNAcentral lists this ribosomal RNA (467 nucleotides) under uncultured bacterium. Its description in RNAcentral is "partial 16S ribosomal RNA". It matches the Rfam family "Bacterial small subunit ribosomal RNA", at positions 29 to 507 of the family's 1533-position model. The record is from RNAcentral.
AGUGAACGCUGGCGGUAGGCCUAACACAUGCAAGUCGAACGGCAGCACAGUAAGAGCUUGCUCUUACGGGUGGCGAGUGGCGGACGGGUGAGGAAUACAUCGGAAUCUACUUUUUCGUGGGGGAUAACGUAGGGAAACUUACGCUAAUACCGCAUACGACCUACGGGUGAAAGCAGGGGAUCUUCGGACCUUGCGCGAGUGAAUGAGCCGAUGUCGGAUUAGCUAGUUGGCGGGGUAAAGGCCCACCAAGGCGACGAUCCGUAGCUGGUCUGAAAGGAUGAGCGGCCACACAGGGAAAGAGACCAGGCCCGAGCGACUACAGGAGGAAGGAGUGAUGAAUAAUGGAGAAGGGGCGAAAGCCGGAUAAACUAAUGCCGCGUGAGUGAUUAAGGCCUGAGGGGUGAAAAGCCCUUUUACCCGGGAGGAUAAUGACAGUACCGGGAGAAUAAGCUCCGGCUAACUCCGUG